UCGAGGGGCAUCGGGAUUGAAGCUUGCUUCAAUUGCCGGCGACCGGCGCACGGGUGCGUAACGCGUAUGUAACCUACCUAUAACAGGGGCAUAACACUGAGAAAUUGGUACUAAUUCCCCAUAAUAUUCGGAGAGGCACCUCUCCGGGUUGAAAACUCCGGUGGUUAUAGAUGGACAUGCGUUGUAUUAGCUAGUUGGUGAGGUAACGGCUCACCAAGGCAACGAUACAUAGGGGGACUGAGAGGUUAACCCCCCACACUGGUACUGAGACACGGACCAGACUCCUACGGGAGGCAGCAGUGAGGAAUAUUGGUCAAUGGACGCAAGUCUGAACCAGCCAUGCCGCGUGCAGGAAGACGGCUCUAUGAGUUGUAAACUGCUUUUGUACGAGGGUAAACUCACCUACGUGUAGGUGACUGAAAGUAUCGUACGAAUAAGGAUCGGCUAACUCCGUGCCAGCAGCCGCGGUAAUACGGAGGAUUCAAGCGUUAUCCGGAUUUAUUGGGUUUAAAGGGUGCGUAGGCGGUUUGAUAAGUUAGAGGUGAAAUCCCGGGGCUUAACUCCGGAACUGCCUCUAAUACUGUUAGACUAGAGAGUAGUUGCGGUAGGCGGAAUGUAUGGUGUAGCGGUGAAAUGCUUAGAGAUCAUACAGAACACCGAUUGCGAAGGCAGCUUACCAAACUAUAUCUGAC
RNAcentral lists this ribosomal RNA (692 nucleotides) under uncultured bacterium. RNAcentral describes it as "bacterial SSU rRNA". It matches the Rfam family "Bacterial small subunit ribosomal RNA", at positions 62 to 744 of the family's 1533-position model. The record is from RNAcentral.